UACGGGCAGCUGGUAAAUCUAAUAGGAUAAUAGAAGCUCUGAUGGCAUUUCAAAACAUCUAAAAUCCCACCUCCAGCUUACAGCAUGUUCUUUUGAUUCUCAACCAAGCUCUCGCCCCUUUGAGGCUAUUUGGCCCUGCCACUCCUGGUUUUUUGCAUUCCAGUUUUUGUUUAUUCCUUUUAAAAUGGUACCACCCUAUAUUUUAUGCUUAAAAGCCAUGCAGUCUGGGCAAUGUCUGUCUUUCUAAAGCUAAGAUAGAAGGUCUGGUUGUUCAAAGACUAUGCCUUCUAUGGUUGUGACUUAACACUGGUUCAGGCUACAUCAAUUUGAAAACAGUUGACUGGACAGACAAGAGACUCUUUUAUUUCCCAACCCAAUUUAGCUGGGGCCAUGGGUGAGUUGUACUCCAGUCUUCAGUUUCCAAAGACUAGUAAUUGAGCUUGCUUAGAUCUCCAGGAUCUCAUGACUUCACUUCAGCCACUGCUGCACAAAGCAAGAUUGUGGCAUUUCUGUUUAAUGACAUUCCCUCCACUGCACUGAUGAUUCAGGUUUGGCACCAAGUACAUUAAAGUAACAUAGUAGAUUCCCUACAUGAGUAGGAAGAGGCUUGAGAGAAACAGAGUUUUAUCUACAUUUAGAUAGCUUGUUCCUGCACCAAUUCAAGCCAAUAACCAAGACUCCCACAGAGUUUAGUGGGAACCAUAUUGACCCCAGAGUUUAUUUUCCAGAUUCCUGUAUAUUAUUUAUAUGGCAGAUUUGGUCCUAAUGAGUGCUGUGUGCCUCAGCUGUCAAUAGCCCUGAUCUGCUUUUACAGAAAAAAGAGCAAGCCCAGUGAAUCUUGAAUUCUUUUCUGCACAGCAACAAAGCUUCAAAAGGCUGGAUGGAAGGGGCCUCCACCCACAAUAGGCUGGUGGUCAGACAGUGUCCUAGUGGGGCCACAUGAGUCCUUUGUUGGAACUAGCCCUAUAGCAAUAAGUCUUCCCCUAAGAAAGCCAAAGAUAAUGUCAAAACAACUGGCUACCUGAAUGCAUUGAUUUCUGCAGCCUGCGGCAAUGCUUCUGUCAACAAUAAAGCAGUUGCUGACUCGAUUUCCGUUCCAGUGGCCCAAGCCAAAGUUUAUUAGCCUGUCAAGGAUUAAUGGUCAUUUGAGAGUUUUAAAAACUACAACAGGGUAGUUAUCGGGCAGUGACAGUAAAGCUGUUGUAUGUUGUGCUCUCAGAAGUAACAGUGCUGAUUUUUCCUGCACAAAGAGAACUUUACUAAUUGGUAAUCUGAUGAAAAUCAUGAAGAAAAGCUGCAAAGUAUGGCAUUAUUUCUGGUAGCUUGUAGCAAGUUUGAGGAUACUUAGCAAGGAAAUUUCUCACCAAUUACAGGGAUAUCAUAACAGAAGCAACUCUUGAAGAAGGACUUGGAGAAGGAUGUACUGGAUUUGGCUGACCAAUUUCAUCUGUGGUAAUGAGAGUACCUGCUAUUCUGAAUGUAUGUAAUACAUUUGCAUCAAGGAAAUUGCUUUUCUCAUUUUCUCUUUUCUGUAUACAAGUGUCUUGUUAAAAGCAUAGACCAUAUUAAUUCGACAUUAACAUCAUCACUGUCUUUGGCUCCACUUAAAACAUCUUUAGUAAUAACAGCAGCUUUGACUAAUGAAGCUAAGAACACGUUUCCUUUCUCUCUAUUUUGUAAUAUAUAUUCCAUUUAUUUCUUGAAGACAAUGAAAAUAGACAGGUUAGUUUCAUUGCUAUUGCUCAUCACUGACUUACGAGGUGCUGCCCAAAUGAUACAGAGUUGCAGUGGUCUGUUUCAACCCAAGCAAUUAAUUUGUUACAUUAAAAAACACGCACAGAUAAUGAACUUUUUCUGUUACAAUCUGGCCACAUAAAAUAUUUUUGAAAAUAAAAGACCUAAUUUUGGUUAUCUAGUUGAAUCUGCCCUUGCUUCUAUUCUUGUCUUUUCUGUUGAGAUGCUUAUACUUCUCUUACCCCUCUAGUAUCUACAUGGCAUCCAGUAGCACAUUAACCAACAUCUGUCACGAGUGUUUCAUUCUCAUUGACUCACCCUCUUCACUGGGGGAAUCCUGAGGAUUCACUUAAAUGGGCCUUAAGUCAGUGUGACAACCAGAGUGUUGCUCUUUGACAGUUUUUAAAAAUGUUUUAAAGAUAUUCAUGUCAUUUUCUUGGUGGUACAAUGAACAAUAAAGGCAGUACUUACAAUAUAAAGUGUAUUAAAUAACUACAAGUAAAAAGUCACCUUUGGACAUUAUCAUCAUCAGAAAUCUAAAUGUAUUUGAUGUUGCUGAAUGCAAGCUAUUGUAACAAGCAGAGGGGAAAACAAUCAGGCAGAUAUUUUAAAUCCAGUAUUAAAAUAAUUGAAUCUCAACAGAACUGUGAUCGGCCACAGUUAAGUCUGUGCUUU
This is a long non-coding RNA of Gavialis gangeticus (Gharial), 2409 nucleotides long. RefSeq lists it as uncharacterized. The transcript is spliced from 3 exons. The record is from RefSeq and is a predicted model, not a curated record. Lineage: Eukaryota; Metazoa; Chordata; Crocodylia; Gavialidae.